Molecule: ribosomal RNA, 2591 nt
Filed under: Pterocladia lucida
Lineage: Eukaryota; Rhodophyta; Florideophyceae; Gelidiales; Pterocladiaceae
Description: large subunit ribosomal RNA
Rfam family: Bacterial large subunit ribosomal RNA
Source: RNAcentral
GGUUAAAUAUAUUUGAUUAAGGAAUUUAUAAAGUUCUAAAAGGGUAUUUAAUGUAAAGUCUUGGCAAAAAUACAUGAGGACGUUUCAAUACGAAAUAUUGUAAGGAGAUCUAGAUCUGUGACCUGCAAGUUUCCUAGCGAGAAAACUCGAUUUAAAAUUCAAAUUAUAAUGCGAAUUGAAUCAUCUUAGUAGCAUUAAAAAAAAUCAAACGAGAAUUUGCAAGUAAUGGCGAAUGAACGCAAUUUAGCUUAGUUAAGAGUAACUUUAUGAAAAAAAUAAACUGAAAAAGGUAAAAGUCCUGUAAUUAAUUAUUCUUAACGUAUAUUAGAAGUAGUAUGAUUAAAUUUGUAUGAAAAAAGGAGAACCACCUUCUAAAGCUUAUAAUAAUUUUUGACCUAUAGUGAACGAGUAUCGUGAGAGAAAGAUUGUGAUGAUCCGUAAGGACUAUUAAAUAAUUGAAUAUCUAUAAAUAUUCGAAGUUAGUUAAAACCACGAAUUGCCUUUUGCAUAAUGAAUCAGCAAGUUGAUUUAAGUUGCAAGUUUAUUUAGUAAUAAUUAAACUACAAGUAACAUAGAUUAAACCUGAAACCAAGUGAUCGAAUCUUAAACAGGUUGAAAAUUUAUUAAAUUAAUUUGGAAGACCGUACUCACAUAUGUAGCAAAAUAUGGAGAUGAUUUAAGAUUAGAGAUGAAAGAUCAAUCAAACUUGGAAAUAGCCGGUUUUUCACGAAACGUAUUUAAGUACUACGCAAUUGUAGUAAAUUGUAUUUAGAGUUACCAAAUAAAAAAAGGGGUGUAAAAACUUACUGAAUUUAUUAUAACUCCGAAAUACAAUUUAAUAACAAUUGCAGACAGUCUAUGGGCGAUAAGGUUCAUAGACAAAAGGAAAACAAUCCAGACCAUUUAUUAAGAUCUUUAAAUUAUAAUUUAGGGACAAAAAUUUCUAGAGCAGCAAAUAAUUUGGAUAAGCUUAGAAGCAGCUUUUCAUUAGAGAAAGCGUUUUAGCUCAUUAUUAUUUUGUUUUAGAAAUUUAAAAUGAAGGAGACUAUAAAUUAUAUAUCGAUGUAAUGGAUCAAAUGUUAAAAUUUGAUGGUAGUGAAACAUUCUGUAAUUUUAAUAUUUUGAAAAAAAUUUAAAUGAUUUCAGAAAAGCAAAUGCUGAUAUGAGUAGCGAAAACUACGUUGAAUCGUAGUCAUUUUAUGUUUAAGGGUUUUAAUGAAAGUUCAAAAACAUUAAGUUAGUCGGUCCUUAAGAAGGAGGUGAAAGCUAAAUUUAACAGGAAUUUAAUUUUUAAAACCAUUUAUAUGCAGUUAAUGUGAAAAAAGUUAUUAAUUUAGUUAAUAUUAAGUGAAGUAAAUAAAUAAGUUUUGACUAAUCGAGAAAAAAUUAUAAUUUAAGACCGUACUUAAUCCGACACAGGUAAAUUUAUUGAGAAAAUUAAAAUGAACGAAUAAAUUAUAUUGAAGGAACUAGGCAAAUUAACUCUGUAAGUUCGCGAUAAAGAGAAUCAAUUGUACAAAUUGAUAACAUAAAUAAAAAGCAACGACUGGUUACCAAAACCACAGGACUCUGCUAAUUUUUAAAAAGUAUAGAGUCUGAUGCCUGCCCAGUGCUUAAAAAAGAAAAAGAUGAGUCAAAAGCUCAGAUUUGAAUUCUAAGUAAACGGCGGUUCUAACUAUAAGAAUCCUUAGGUAGCGAAAUUCAUUGUCGGGUAAAUUCCGUCCUGCAUGAAUGGCUUAACGAUUGCUUUACUGUCUCCAAUAUAAAUUCGGCGAAAUUACAAUACCUGUGAAAAUGCAGGUUUCUUACAGUAAGACGGAAAGACCCUAGAUCCUUUACUCUAAUUUUAUAUUGUAAAUCUAUUUUUUUAGUAUAGCAUAAGUGGGAGUUAAACUCAAAUGAAAUACCACUCUAAGAAAAGAAAUUUACUUAUUCAACAAUAAUGCUGGAAACAGUAUAAAAAUGGGAGUUUACUUGGGACGAGUACCUCCUAAAAAAUAACGGAGGUGUACUAAGGUAAAUACAAAGCGUAAUGGUAAAAUUUGCUUGACAAUCAGAUUCAUAAAUCAAAUUGGGACGAAAGUCAGUCAUAGUGAUCCAAUAUUACAGUGUGGAAUUAAUAUUGCUCAACAGAUAAAAGGAACUCUAGGGAUAACAGAUUCAUCGUGAUUAAAAGUUCGUAUUGAAAUCACGGUUUGAUACCUCGAUGUCGACUCAUCUUAUCCUGAAAUUGAAGCAGAUUUCAAGGGUCUAGUUGUUCGCUAGUUAAAAAGGUACGUGAGUUGGGUUCAGAACGUCGUGAGACAGUUCGGUCCCUAUCUACUGUAAGUAUCGAAAAAUAGAAAAAAUAUUUCUAGUACGAGAGGAUCGAAAUAUAUUAACCUCUAGUGUAUUGAUUGUUGUUAUCUACAGCAAGUCUGAUAGCCAUGUUAAUUGAAUAUAAAUACUGAAUGCAUUAAAAGUAUGAAAAUAGCCUUCUUAUUUUUCAUGAAUAAUUUAAAAGAUAAUUAAAUAGAUCGGUUUUAAAAUAUAAGUUUAGUAAUAAAUUAAAAUUUAUAAAUACGAAUUUAUUCAGAACUUUAAACUAACUU